Molecule: ribosomal RNA, 468 nt
Filed under: uncultured bacterium
Lineage: Bacteria
Description: partial 16S ribosomal RNA
Rfam family: Bacterial small subunit ribosomal RNA
Source: RNAcentral
GACGAACGCUGGCGGCGUGCUUAACACAUGCAAGUCGAACGGAAAGGCACUGCUUUUGUGGGGUGCUCGAGUGGCGAACGGGUGAGUAACACGUGAGUAACCUGCCCUUGACUUUGGGAUAACUUCAGGAAACUGGGGCUACUACCGGAUAGGAGCCCCUGCUGCAUGGUGGGGGUGGGAAAGUUUCGGCGGUUGGGGAUGGACGGGCGGCUUAUCAGUUUGUUGGUGGGGUAGUGGCUUACCAAGGCUUUGACGGGUAGCCGGCCUGAGUGGGUGACCGGCCACAUUGGGACUGAGGGACGGCCCAGACUCCUACGGGAGGCAGCAGGGGGGAAUAUUGCACAAUGGGCGGAAGCCUGAUGCAGCAACGCCGCGUGCGGGAUGACGGCCUUCGGGUUGUAAACCGCAUUCGCCUGUGACGAAGCGGGAGUGACGGUAAUGGGUAAAGAAGCACCGGCUAACUACGUG